Metopolophium dirhodum (rose-grain aphid) is the source of this 752-nucleotide long non-coding RNA. RefSeq lists it as uncharacterized. Lineage: Eukaryota; Metazoa; Arthropoda; Insecta; Hemiptera; Aphididae. The transcript is spliced from 2 exons. The record is from RefSeq and is a predicted model, not a curated record.
GAUUUAUUGUGUUAAUCCCCUCCUACUAAAUCAGUGACUGUAUAUUAUCAUAUUAUAAUAAUAACUAUAUGCAACGGCGUAACAUUACAUAAUAAAAUAUUAGCUCAAAACAUUUCAAUCGAUAUCAUAUUAUCAUUCAUUGCCGACCUCUGGAUAAAAUCAAAAGUAAUUUCAUCAAAAUAUAUAACUUAUACACAAUAAUACGACGGCGCACUGCAGUACCUAUCCUGCACAAACGUCCAUCGCGUACAAUAAUACCAUAAUAUUAUAUUAGGUAUAAUAUUCGUGUAACCGUGUAUACGUUAAUAUAUUACCAAUUUUAAUAACGAAUCAUAUCAUAAUGUCGGCGCGGAAAAACGUGUUACCGGCCUUGUUCGUCAUGCUGCUGAUAAUGUCACCCGUCACCCCAACCAGUAUCUUCAUUUCUGCCGUAUGCUACAGCGGUUGCGGAUCCUUAGCUUUCGUUUGCUACGUGUCCAACGGCAUAUCCAUCGGCAUAGAUUACUUCAAGUCCUCUGCUCCUCUACCACCGCCUGAAAUAUCAUGCGGAGAAGCGUUCGAUGAGUGCAGGGACCACUGCCUAGCGACAUUUACGUUGUCGCCCUAAAGCUCAAGCCGCUGCCAGGAAACGGCAUACCUGCUGCUGCUACACUAGAAGACUAAAUUGUUAUUUAAUAUGAUCACAAAUAGUUAAUUAGUGUAUAAUAUUAUUGUAAAUAUUAUUAUAUACGCACUGGCAAUAAUAAUUUGUA